RNAcentral lists this ribosomal RNA (1031 nucleotides) under Vulpes lagopus (Arctic fox). RNAcentral describes it as "partial 16S ribosomal RNA". It matches the Rfam family "Bacterial large subunit ribosomal RNA", at positions 917 to 2593 of the family's 2925-position model. Lineage: Eukaryota; Metazoa; Chordata; Mammalia; Carnivora; Canidae. The record is from RNAcentral.
AAAUAGAAUUUUAGUUCAACUUUAAAUUUACCAAAAAAAAACAAAGUUCUAAUGUAAAUUUAAAAUAUAAUCUAAAAAGGUACAGCUUUUUAGAACAAGGACACAACCUUUAUUAGAGAGUAAAUACUAACACAACCAUAGUUGGCCUAAAAGCAGCCAUCAAUUGAGAAAGCGUUCAAGCUCAACAAAUAAUGCAACUUAAUCCCAACCAUAUUGUAUAAACUCCUAAUUUACCCCUGGGUUAUUCUAUCUAAGUAUAGAAGCAACAAUGCUAGUAUGAGUAACAAGAAUUAUUUCUCCCCGCAUAAGCUUAUAUCAGAAACGGAUAAACCACUGAUAGUUAACAACCUGAUAAGACUAAUCCAAAAAUAAAAUACUUAUCUACCCCAUUGUUAACCCAACACAGGCAUGCACCCAAGGAAAGAUUAAAAGAAGUAAAAGGAACUCGGCAAACACAAACCCCGCCUGUUUACCAAAAACAUCACCUCCAGCAUUCCCAGUAUUGGAGGCACUGCCUGCCCAGUGACGUCCGUUAAACGGCCGCGGUAUCCUGACCGUGCAAAGGUAGCAUAAUCAUUUGUUCCUUAAAUAGGGACUUGUAUGAAUGGCCACACGAGGGUUUAACUGUCUCUUACUUCCAAUCCGUGAAAUUGACCUUCCCGUGAAGAGGCGGGAAUAUCAUAAUAAGACGAGAAGACCCUAUGGAGCUUUAAUUAAUUAGCCCAAACCCAUGAAAUCCAAACCCCUCCGGGAAUAACUUACUGUCAUCGUUAUGGGCUAACAAUUUAGGUUGGGGUGACCUCGGAAUAUAAAAAAACUCCCGAGUGAUUAAAAUUUAGACCUACCAGUCAAAAUGUAUCAUCACUUAUUGAUCCAAUAAUCAUUGAUCAACGGAACAAGUUACCCUAGGGAUAACAGCGCAAUCCUAUUUAAGAGUUCAUAUCGACAAUAGGGUUUACGACCUCGAUGUUGGAUCAGGACAUCCUAAUGGUGCAGCAGCUAUUAAGGGUUCGUUUGUUCAACGAUUAAAG